UAAAACGUCCGUUAUCCGGGCGCACACGGAAAUCGGACACACUACAAAUCCUAACUGCCGUUAAGACAAUGACGUCCGUUAUCUCUGCUAGUGUGUCCGGGGUAUAAUUUUGUAGAAGGUUUGAAUAAAGCUCUUGAUAAGAAUUACGGAUACAUCGCAGAAGAACCGGGUAUGAAGACAACUGCCAUUAAUAUAAACGAAGCACUUUUUGUGUUUUCUAAAGAUUCUUUAGUCAUGUUUGCGGGUACUUUUGGUGUAAGACAUAAUUUUCCACUGAGGAAGAAGUUCAAUCGCAUCACAUCAAGAUUGUUCGAAGCGGGAAUAAUCGAUCAAUUCGAAAGAGAUAUCAAUGAGAAAAUCAGACGUGGUUCCAUAUCAAAAUUAAUUCCAGAAGAGAUUUUUUAAACCAGUCACUUUAUAGGAUUUGCUUGGAGUUAUCAUAUUGUUGGGAAGUGGUUAUAUUUUCGCCUCGCUGUGCUUGAUCUUUGAGAUAUGUGUUUUUCGUCGAAAAGAGUAUGCCUGAAACUAUAAUUUUAUUGAUAUCUAUGGAUUUUUUUGUUUUUUUUUUUUUAAUUUGCAAAAAAUUAUGGCAUUGUUACAUGUAGAUCUAUCAUUUGUGGCUGUAGCGACGGUGGAUUACGGACGAGACAGAAAGCGAGAAAAUGAAGAGGAUUUACAGAUUAAAUUUGAUUUAUUUGGUACUCGUCAACUUGCAAUUUGUUACAGAUGGCUGGAGUAACCAAGGGAAUAAAUCUCUUAAUACUAAGAAACGAUUAAUUUUUAAAGUAGCUGCACUCCAGUCUCCGCCAUUUACUUUUAUUGACAACGAUAAAAAACUCGUCGAAGGAGUCGAUUAUCGAAUUAUGGAGUUACUUAAGGAGAGAUUGCAUUUUAAUUACGAAGUUGUAAUUCCUCCCG
This 918-nucleotide long non-coding RNA is filed under the name Androctonus crassicauda. The record is from RNAcentral. Lineage: Eukaryota; Metazoa; Arthropoda; Arachnida; Scorpiones; Buthidae.